Molecule: ribosomal RNA, 496 nt
Filed under: uncultured bacterium
Lineage: Bacteria
Description: partial 16S ribosomal RNA
Rfam family: Bacterial small subunit ribosomal RNA
Source: RNAcentral
AUGCACGCUGGCGGCGUGCCUAAUACAUGCAGGUCGAGCGAACAGACGAGGAGCUUGCUCCUCUGACGUUAGCGGCGGACGGGUGAGUAACACGUGGAUAACCUACCUAUAAGACUGGGAUAACUUCGGGAAACCGGAGCUAAUACCGGAUAAUAUAUUGAACCGCAUGGUUCAAUAGUGAAAGACGGUUUUGCUGUCACUUAUAGAUGGAUCCGCGCCGCAUUAGCUAGUUGGUAAGGUAACGGCUUACCAAGGCAACGAUGCGUAGCCGACCUGAGAGGGUGAUCGGCCACACUGGAACUGAGACACGGUCCAGACUCCUACGGGAGGCAGCAGUAGAGAAUCUUCCGCAAUGGGCGAAAGCCUGACGGAGCAACGCCGCGUGAGUGAUGAAGGUCUUCGGAUCGUAAAACUCUGUUAUUAGGGAAGAACAAAUGUGUAAGUAACUAUGCACGUCUUGACGGUACCUAAUCAGAAAGCCACGGCUAACUACGUG